This 451-nucleotide ribosomal RNA is filed under the name Bacillus anthracis (anthrax bacterium). RNAcentral's name for it is "bacterial SSU rRNA". It matches the Rfam family "Bacterial small subunit ribosomal RNA", at positions 92 to 529 of the family's 1533-position model. The record is from RNAcentral. Lineage: Bacteria; Bacillati; Bacillota; Bacilli; Caryophanales; Bacillaceae.
UUAGCGGCGGACGGGUGAGUAACACGUGGGUAACCUGCCUAUAAGACUGGGAUAACUCCGGGAAACCGGGGCUAAUACCGGAUAACAUUUUGCACCGCAUGGUGCGAAAUUGAAAGGCGGCUUCGGCUGUCACUUAUAGAUGGACCUGCGUCGCAUUAGCUAGUUGGUGAGGUAACGGCUCACCAAGGCGACGAUGCGUAGCCGACCUGAGAGGGUGAUCGGCCACACUGGGACUGAGACACGGCCCAGACUCCUACGGGAGGCAGCAGUAGGGAAUCUUCCGCAAUGGACGAAAGUCUGACGGAGCAACGCCGCGUGAGUGAUGAAGGCUUUCGGGUCGUAAAACUCUGUUGUUAGGGAAGAACAAGUAUGAGAGUAACUGCUCGUACCUUGACGGUACCUAACCAGAAAGCCACGGCUAACUACGUGCCAGCAGCCGCGGUAAUACGUA